Molecule: ribosomal RNA, 426 nt
Filed under: uncultured bacterium
Lineage: Bacteria
Description: bacterial SSU rRNA
Rfam family: Bacterial small subunit ribosomal RNA
Source: RNAcentral
GGGGAAUUUUGCGCAAUGGACGAAAGUCUGACGCAGCAACGCCGCGUGGAGGAAGAAGCUCCUUUGGAGUGUAAACUUCUGUUAAUUAGGAAGAAAAGAUAGUAGUUAAUACCUAUUAUUUAUGACGAUACUAGUAAAGAAAGCACCGGCUAAUCUCGUGCCAGCAGCCGCGGUAAUACGAGAGGUGCAAGCGUUAUUCGGAAUUAUUGGGCGUAAAGGGCGCGUAGGCGGCUUUAUAAGUUUCUUGUUUAAGACUUCGGCCUAACUGAAGAAAAGCAAGGAAUACUGUAUAGCUAGAGUAUAAUAGAGAGAAGUGGAAUUUUCGGAGUAGCGGUUAAAUGCGUAGAUCUCGAAAGGAACGCCAAUGGCGAAGGCAGCUUCUUGGGUUAUUACUGACGCUGAGGCGCGAAGGCAUGGGGAGCAAAC